GCCCCGUUCGUCUAGCGGCCCAGGACACCGCCCUCUCACGGCGGCAGCACCGGUUCAAAUCCGGUACGGGGUA
Actinomyces massiliensis F0489 is the source of this 73-nucleotide transfer RNA. It matches the Rfam family "tRNA". From Rfam's summary of the family: Transfer RNA (tRNA) molecules are approximately 80 nucleotides in length. Their secondary structure includes four short double-helical elements and three loops (D, anti-codon, and T loops). Further hydrogen bonds mediate the characteristic L-shaped molecular structure. tRNAs have two regions of fundamental functional importance: the anti-codon, which is responsible for specific mRNA codon recognition, and the 3' end, to which the tRNAs corresponding amino acid is attached (by aminoacyl-tRNA synthetases). tRNAs cope with the degeneracy of the genetic code in two manners: having more than one tRNA (with a specific anti-codon) for a particular amino acid; and 'wobble' base-pairing, i.e. permitting non-standard base-pairing at the 3rd anti-codon position. NCBI's taxonomy places the organism in Bacteria, Bacillati, Actinomycetota, Actinomycetes, Actinomycetales, Actinomycetaceae. The record is from Rfam.